UACGUAGGGGGCUAGCGUUGUCCGGAAUCAUUGGGCGUAAAGCGCGCGUAGGCGGCCCGGUAAGUCCGCUCUGAAAGUCCAGGGCUCAACCCUGGAAAGCGGGUGGAUACUGCCGGGCUAGAAUCCGGAAGAGGCGAGUGGAAUUCCUGGUGUAGCGGUGAAAUGCGUAGAUAUCAGGAGGAACACCGGUGGCGAAGGCGGCUUUCUGGACAGUAACCGACGCUGAGGCGCGAAAGCUAGGGGAGCAAACAGG
Molecule: ribosomal RNA, 253 nt
Filed under: uncultured prokaryote
Description: partial 16S ribosomal RNA
Rfam family: Bacterial small subunit ribosomal RNA
Source: RNAcentral